This 460-nucleotide ribosomal RNA is filed under the name uncultured bacterium. Its description in RNAcentral is "partial 16S ribosomal RNA". It matches the Rfam family "Bacterial small subunit ribosomal RNA", at positions 338 to 795 of the family's 1533-position model. The record is from RNAcentral.
CCUACGGGGGGCAGCAGUGAGGAAUAUUGGUCAAUGGCCGGAAGGCUGAACCAGCCAUGCCGCGUGAAGGUCAGUGCCCUAUGGGCGUUAAACUUCUUUUGUGCGGGAGCAAUAAUGGUCACGUGUGGCCAGACGAGAGUACCGUACGAAUAAGCAUCUGCUAACUCCGUGCCAGCAGCCGCGGUAAUACGGGGGAUGCAAGCGUUAUCCGGAUUUAUUGGGUUUAAAGGGUGCGUAGGCUGUGAGGUAAGUCAGCGGGGAAAUGCCCCCGCUCAACGGGGUGAAGUGCCAUUGAUACUGCCUUGCUGGAAUGCGGAUGCCGUAGGAGGAAUGUGUGGUGUAGCGGUGAAAUGCAUAGAUAUCACACAGAACACCGAUUGCGAAGGCAUCUCACGAAUCCGCGAUUGACGCUGAUGCACGAAAGCGUGGGUAUCAAACAGGAUUAGAUACCCCAGUAGUC